RNAcentral lists this ribosomal RNA (253 nucleotides) under uncultured bacterium. Its description in RNAcentral is "partial 16S ribosomal RNA". It matches the Rfam family "Bacterial small subunit ribosomal RNA", at positions 524 to 776 of the family's 1533-position model. The record is from RNAcentral.
UACGUAGGUGGCAAGCGUUAUCCGGAUUUAUUGGGCGUAAAGGGAACGCAGGCGGUCUUUUAAGUCUGAUGUGAAAGCCUUCGGCUUAACCGGAGUAGUGCAUUGGAAACUGGGAGACUUGAGUGCAGAAGAGGAGAGUGGAACUCCAUAUGUAGCGGUGAAAUGCGUAGAUAUAUGGAAGAACACCAGUGGCGAAAGCGGCUCUCUGGUCUGUAACUGACGCUGAGGUUCGAAAGCGUGGGUAGCAAACAGG